This 1062-nucleotide ribosomal RNA is filed under the name Triticum aestivum (bread wheat). RNAcentral describes it as "partial small subunit ribosomal RNA". Lineage: Eukaryota; Viridiplantae; Streptophyta; Magnoliopsida; Poales; Poaceae. The record is from RNAcentral.
AUGGCAGAGCCCUGCAAGAUUCCUGCUGCCAUGGUAGCCGAAUCCGUGGAGAGGUCAUAUGUGCUCAAAAUAGAUGGAUACUCAAGAGUGAAGGGGCUACUGAAGAACGGCAAGUUCGUCGCCUCCACCCCUUUCAGUGUUGGAGGCCACAACUGGACCGUGAAAUAUUACCCGAACGGUUGCCCCAAGUACUGUGACGAUUUCAUAUCUCUGUAUGUGCACCAUGAAUCUGCCGGUGCCAAAGAAGUGAAGGCGAAAUUGUCGCUCAAUGUGCUUGACAAGAAUGGGAAUCCGGUGCCUUCCUACACCCGUACCACCCCUGUGAAUACUUUCUCAAGGAAAGCUCCGACCUGUGGCUACUAUGACUUCAUCCCGAAGGAUGAGCUUGAGGAGUCGGCGCAUCUUAGAGGUGACUGUCUCACCAUCAGGUGCGAUGUUACCGUCUUGAAGGAGAUCGAAGAAGCAAUGGUUCCUCCAAGCGACCUGCACCGGCACCUCGGUGAUCUCCUGAAGAGCAAUGAUGCAGCGGACAUGACCUUUCAAGUUGACGGACAGAGAUACUCCGCUCAUCGGUGUGUUGUUGCCGCUCGGUCGUCCGUCUUCAAGGCGGAGCUCCUCGGCGCCAUGGAGGAGAGUUCCGGUAGUACCAUUGUAAUCCGUGACAUGGAAGCUGAUGUGUUCGAGUCCUUUCUCCAUUUCAUAUACACCGACUCGGUUCCUCCAGCGCUUGAUGUGGUGAUGGCCGGACAUCUACUCGUGGCGGCUGACAGGUACAACAUCGGUAGGCUGAAGGUGAUAUGCGAGGAGAAAUUAUGCAGUCACAUUGAUUCCAACAUGGUGGCUACCAGCUUGGCUUUGGCUGAGCAACAUGGUUUCCGUCGUCUCAAGGAAGCUUGUUUGCAGUUCCUUGCUUCUCCGUCCAAUUUGGAGGCCAUGAUGACAAGUGAUGGCUAUGAGCAUCUGAAAUCCAGCUGCCCAGCUGUUCUUAAGGAGCUGAUAGCUAGAAUCAUCCCGGCUGAAUUUACAUCAGCAAAGGAUAUUAUCAUGACAAUGUGGAAGUAA